UUCAUCCUGGCCAGGCAUAGUUCACCAUCUUUCGGGUCCCAACGUGUGGGCUCUAGGUCCGCGCCUCAGCAGUGCUCAGCAGUGAAGAGAGCAAGCCAGCCGAUGGCGCGGCCCGCGGAUGCNCCGCACGCCACAAGUGACGGUGGAUCUCCGCUCGUGCCGUCANACGACACUUUACUUUCAUUGCGCGUUUGANAUUAGACAAUCUCAAUCGCUCGCUCACAUGUUAGACUCCUUGGUCCGUGUUUCAAGACGGGCCGCACAUAACGACGCAAAGGCCGAGCCGAAACGUUAGACGNUUCGAAUUUGCGCUGGCCGUCGCCCGGUCGUUCGCCAUCGGCCGGCUUAUUGCAUCGUANACCAGGCCGACCGUCGUCGCUACAGUANAGCGCAUAGUCGACGGAGCACCGCGGCACGACCGUGAGGUC
Molecule: ribosomal RNA, 428 nt
Filed under: Litoscalpellum discoveryi
Lineage: Eukaryota; Metazoa; Arthropoda; Thecostraca; Scalpellidae
Description: partial 28S ribosomal RNA
Source: RNAcentral